RNAcentral lists this long non-coding RNA (1423 nucleotides) under Linum usitatissimum (flax). RNAcentral describes it as "long non-coding RNA (LUSI_LNC002311)". Lineage: Eukaryota; Viridiplantae; Streptophyta; Magnoliopsida; Malpighiales; Linaceae. The record is from RNAcentral.
AGAAGCGCAAAGGUUGUGAAUGGACAAUGGUUUGGCGGUCAAAGAAAGGCCCCUUUAUCUAGUGCCCCCUGUGGUGACAAACAGUUCUCGGAGCUUUCAAUAUCCCUGGUUGCCAGUGAAGAAGUUUUCUUGGAACCAGUGAAGAAGUUCAAAGGCUCAGUAAAUCGACAAGGAUUAGGUGGUCUAAGCCUCCACCUAUUCUGAGUGCCACAGAUGGUGAACAGUUAUUGAAUCUUACAAUAUCUGUACUUGUAGCUUCUUCUUCGAGACAGUGAGGAAGUUCGUCGUCAACGAUUUGGUGGUUUAAGAAAGGCCUCACCUUGUAUGUGUGUGCUACAGAGGAUGACGAACGGUUCUCGGAGAUAACAAUCUCUGUUCUUGUUUGGGUGCAGGUAGAACUCUCUUGUCUUUUCUGGUCAGUUCCCUUUUACAGCUUGUUAUUGUCUCAGACUCCGAUUUUUUGGAUCGAUUUAUUUUGCCUUUGACAUUUAUCUAGAAUGUUUUGUUGCUUUAGGAAACCUGCUUCCUCGUAUGCUUGCUUCGCUGCCUGCUAAGGGACCAGUAAUUUGCGAAAGAUGGGAGUCGAGGAGGUUGUUUGCGCUCACUUCAGUCCAAGCCAUCGUCUGCUGUUGGCUUGAUGGAUCUCUCUCCCCCCUUCAAGGGGUCUGCAUGAAAUAUUCAUAUAGCUGUUUUUGUUGUUCGUGCUUGUAUUGUUCCCUUAACCCACCAAUACUUGACAGCUGCGAUGGGGAAUCGUAGGAGUGUCUGUUUAUACAAUCACGAAAAUCUCUUUACUCUUGUCCAUUCGGAUAACUUUUGAAGGAUGCAGUCUGCUUUGGUUGUUUAGUUCAUGGAUCCUAUACCUCAGAUGCGAGUAGUCAGUUUGGGGAUAUGAAGCUAUAUUCCAAUGUUUGUAAGAUGGUUUUUCUUGAUUGUGUUACUUUCAGCUGAGGCUAUGUGAUUGGAUCCUUUGCCGUUUCGAUCAAUCUUGUUGAUGUACCAACUGCCCUCGUUACAAUUGAAGGUAUGAGUUGGUUGGCUAGUCAAGCCUGCUUGUACACAAAUUUUGUUUGCCAAGGUUUGCAUUGCACGGAAAGGUUUCUGUAUGAGGGCGUUCUGGCUAUGCACUUAACAAUGAGAGAGCAUUCUAACUUUCCCCCUAACGACGUUUCUGGAAUUCAAAAUCAAGGUUAAGUUCCCAGUCAAUGUGACUGAGCCUCUGUUACGAUGCUCGAGUCCAUCCACCGUCUUUGCAGGCUGAAAGGGGCAGGAUCCCUUAGCCCCUGAGAUGGUUUUGCAGCUUAUCGCUGACAUCUAUUUGGUUAGUCCCUACUGUUGUCCUAAUUAACUGUGACCGUUGCAUUGGCCGACACCGAAACAUAUGUGGCAGCUAAAAUUCUGAGUAGUUUUGUGGAGCCUUCAG